AGGACGAACGCUGGCGGCGUGCUUAACACAUGCAAGUCGAGCGAGGCCCGUUCCUUCGGGAACGGUGCCCUAGCGGCGAACGGGUGAGUAACACGUGGGCAACCUGCCUCUAGCACUGGGAUAACUCCGGGAAACCGGGGCUAAUACCGGAUACGACCUCUGAGGGCAUCCUCCGGAGGUGGAAAGCAUUGUGGCUAGAGAUGGGCCCGCGGCCUAUCAGCUUGUUGGUGGGGUAACGCCCACCAAGGCGACGACGGGUAGCCGGCCUGGGAGGGCGACCGGCCACACUGGGACUGAGACACGGCCCAGACUCCUACGGGAGGCAGCAGUUGGGAAUAUUGCACAAUGGGCGAAAGCCUGAUGCAGCGACGCCGCGUGAGGGAUGACUGCCUUCGGGUUGUAAACCUCUUUCAGCAGGGACGAAGCGAAAGUGACGGUACCUGCAGAAGAGCACCGGCCAACUACGCGCCAGCAGCCGCGGUAA
This 484-nucleotide ribosomal RNA is filed under the name uncultured bacterium. RNAcentral's name for it is "SSU rRNA". It matches the Rfam family "Bacterial small subunit ribosomal RNA", at positions 26 to 523 of the family's 1533-position model. The record is from RNAcentral.